Molecule: ribosomal RNA, 466 nt
Filed under: uncultured bacterium
Lineage: Bacteria
Description: partial 16S ribosomal RNA
Rfam family: Bacterial small subunit ribosomal RNA
Source: RNAcentral
GACGAACGCUGGCGGCGUGCUUAACACAUGCAAGUCGAACGGUAAGGCUCCAUCUUGCUGGGGUACACGAGUGGCGAACGGGUGAGUAACACGUGGGUGACCUGCCCUGCACUUCGGGAUAAGCCUGGGAAACUGGGUCUAAUACCGGAUAGGACCAUGGUGUGGAUACUGUGGUGGAAAGUUUUUUCGGUGUGGGAUGGGCCCGCGGCCUAUCAGCUUGUUGGUGGGGUAAUGGCCUACCAAGGCGGCGACGGGUAGCCGGCCUGAGAGGGUGGACGGCCACAUUGGGACUGAGACACGGCCCAGACUCCUACGGGAGGCAGCAGUGGGGAAUAUUGCACUAUGGGCGGAAGCCUGAUGCAGCGACGCCGCGUGGGGGAUGACGGCCUUCGGGUUGUAAACUCCUUUCCCCAUCGACGAAGGGUUUCUGACGGUAGAUGGAGAAGAAGCACCGGCUAACUACGUG